This 1300-nucleotide ribosomal RNA is filed under the name metagenome. RNAcentral's name for it is "bacterial LSU rRNA". It matches the Rfam family "Bacterial large subunit ribosomal RNA", at positions 1635 to 2925 of the family's 2925-position model. The record is from RNAcentral.
UACACGACCGUACCGCAAACCGACACUGGUGCGCGAGAUGAGUAUUCUAAGGCGCUUGAGAGAACUCAGGAGAAGGAACUCGGCAAAUUGACUCCGUAACUUCGGAAGAAGGUGUGCCUUUAGUAGGUGAACCUGUACAAGGGGAGCCCAAUGAGGUUGCAAAAAAUCGGUGGCUGCGACUGUUUAAUAAAAACACAGCACUCUGCAAACACGAAAGUGGACGUAUAGGGUGUGACGCCUGCCCGGUGCUGGAAGAUUAAAUGAUGGGGUGCAAGCUCUUGAUUGAAGUCCCAGUAAACGGCGGCCGUAACAAUAACGGUCCUAAGGUAGCGAAAUUCCUUGUCGGGUAAGUUCCGACCUGCACGAAUGGCGUAACGAUGGCCACACUGUCUCCUCCUGAGACUCAGCGAAGUUGAAAUGUUUGUGAUGAUGCAAUCUCCCCGCGGAAAGACGGAAAGACCCCAUGAACCUUUACUGUAGCUUUGUAUUGGACUUUGAACAGAUCUGUGUAGGAUAGGUGGGAGGCUUUGAAGUGUGGUCGCUAGAUCGCAUGGAGCCAACGUUGAAAUACCACCCUGGUGUGUUUGAGGUUCUAACCUAGGCCCGUAAUCCGGGUCGGGGACAGUGCAUGGUAGGCAGUUUGACUGGGGCGGUCUCCUCCCAAAGCGUAACGGAGGAGUUCGAAGGUACGCUAGGUACGGUCGGACAUCGUGCUAAUAGUGCAAUGGCAUAAGCGUGCUUAACUGCGAGACUGACAAGUCGAGCAGAUGCGAAAGCAGGACAUAGUGAUCCGGUGGUUCUGUAUGGAAGGGCCAUCGCUCAACGGAUAAAAGGUACUCUGGGGAUAACAGGCUGAUACCGCCCAAGAGUUCAUAUCGACGGCGGUGUUUGGCACCUCGAUGUCGGCUCAUCUCAUCCUGGGGCUGUAGCCGGUCCCAAGGGUAUGGCUGUUCGCCAUUUAAAGAGGUACGUGAGCUGGGUUUAAAACGUCGUGAGACAGUUUGGUCCCUAUCUUCCGUGGGCGCUGCAGAUUUGAGGAAGCCUGCUCCUAGUACGAGAGGACCGGAGUGGACACACCUCUGGUGUAUCGGUUGUCACGCCAGUGGCAUUGCCGAGUAGCUAUGUGUGGAAGAGAUAACCGCUGAAAGCAUCUAAGCGGGAAACUCGUUUCAAGAUGAGAUCUGCCGGGGCCUUGAGCCCCCUAAAGAGUCGUUCAAGACCAGGACGUUGAUAGGUCGGGUGUGGAAGCGCAGUAAUGCGUUAAGCUAACCGAUACUAAUUGCUCGUGCGGCUUGACCAG